Molecule: ribosomal RNA, 466 nt
Filed under: uncultured bacterium
Lineage: Bacteria
Description: partial 16S ribosomal RNA
Rfam family: Bacterial small subunit ribosomal RNA
Source: RNAcentral
GACGAACGCUGGCGGCGUGCUUAACACAUGCAAGUCGAACGGUAAGGCUCCAGCUUGCUGGGGUACACGAGUGGCGAACGGGUGAGUAACACGUGGGUGACCUGCCCUGCACUUCGGGAUAAGCCUGGGAAACUGGGUCUAAUACCGGAUAGGACCAUGGUGUGGAUACUGUGGUGGAAAGUUUUUUCGGUGUGGGAUGGGCCCGCGGCCUAUCAGCUUGUUGGUGGGGUAAUGGCCUACCAAGGCGGCGACGGGUAGCCGGCCUGAGAGGGUGAACGGCCACAUUGGGACUGAGACACGGCCCAGACUCCUACGGGAGGCAACAGUGGGGAAUAUUGCACAAUGGGCGGAAGCCUGAUGCAGCGACGCCGCGUGGGGGAUGACGGCCUUCGGGUUGUAAACUCCUUUCACCAUCGACGAAGGGUUUCUGACGGUAGACGGAGAAGAAGCACCGGCUAACUACGUG